ACUUAAUAAAUUCUUCCCUCCUCACCCUUCAAUGUGACCACGUGCCUAAUUUUUCCUGCUCAUGAGACAAGAACUCUGAUUUAGCUGAACUAGGGAGCAAAAAUUCUGCAUCAUUUUGGCCUAUACGGGGGUUUGUCAGAAGGCUCUAGGAAAGAAAACUGGAACUGAGGCAGAUGACAACGGAAGUUAAGAGACAUAGCACAGAUGGAGUCUCGCUUUGUCUCCAGGAUGGAAUACAGUGGCACAAUCUUGGCUCACUGAAACCUCCACCUCCCAAGUUCAAGGGAUUCCCUGCCUCAGCCUCCCAAGUAGCUGGGACUAUAGGCACACCGCCACCAUGCCCAGCUAAUUUUUUGUAUUUUAGUAGAGAUGAGGUUU
Molecule: long non-coding RNA, 378 nt
Organism: Pongo pygmaeus (Bornean orangutan)
Lineage: Eukaryota; Metazoa; Chordata; Mammalia; Primates; Hominidae
Exons: 3
Source: RefSeq, a predicted model, not a curated record